GCGACGGGUAGGCUCGGAGCAUGACCGGAGGCAAGCUCCGGCGUGCCACGCGGCACCUCGACCGGUGCUUCCACCGCCACCUCCUCCGUCAUGCCCCUGGCCACCAAGAUCGCCGUAGAGAAGCUGCGGUGCCGUGGAGGCCCGCACCGGUCCCGCCCUCUCCGCAGCACGGGACUCUAGUGCAUCGUCGAACGCCAUUUCCGCCGCCGCCGCCGGUGGCAUGAUCGUAGCCGUUGUGAUUCAGUUCCCUGUAGCGUACUCGGCCGAGGCCAUAAUUUGCUAAGCGUCCUCUGCUUGGAGUUUACUUAUAAGUAGGCAAGCAAUGUAACCACCAUUAAGCAUUUUCCCUUGUUCGUGAACUCGUGCCAGUACGCAGCGCACUUUCAGGUGAUCACUG
RNAcentral lists this long non-coding RNA (397 nucleotides) under Panicum hallii. RNAcentral's name for it is "long non-coding RNA (PHAL_LNC000868)". Lineage: Eukaryota; Viridiplantae; Streptophyta; Magnoliopsida; Poales; Poaceae. The record is from RNAcentral.